UAACAUAAAAACAUAGGUCUUGAAUUAAAACUAAAAAUUAAACAAUUUUGUCAUCAUCCAAUACAUGAAAAUAUUUAGCCUAACAUAAUGUUGGGAUUAAAUAAAUAAAAGUGGAAGGAAGUCACCGAAAUUUGACGGGACAUGAUUAACUCCACGAAAUUUAUCCACUUUUGCGCGCUCACGGCUUGACUAGGUAGAUAUAUUUUUCCCCAAUUGGUGUGUAAUCAAACUCCCAGCAGCCGCCUUUUCAACGUGUCUUCUGGUCAAUUGCGUGUGUUGUAUCAGUAAAAAAAAAAAUCAGCCCAAUGUUUGUAUAAUCUCAACCAAUUGGCAGCCGUCUCCUCCUCCUUCUAGCCGUCUUUUUCUAUAUUCCUCUUCCCCCAGUUCUGCCAAUGUUUCCACACACACACACACACAUAUCCAGUUUCCCCCAAGCAGCUGCUUUAAUUUAUAUGUAAAAUAAUUCAAUCCAAUUGCUAAUUUGUCCCCCUCUUCUGCCGGUUUUGUUGACUUCAAAAGAGUAAAAUUCUAACUGUUUCUUUUCUCUCAGCAAUUGUAUUAAUUUAGCAGUCCUUUUUCAAUCCAAUUUCAGUCGCCAUUUUUUUCCAGAAUUUCCCCAAGUUGGCUGCCUUAUUAAUGGUUUUGUCUCCAAAAAAUUCUCCACCUUUUUCCUUCAAUUGGCUGCCAUGAAUAUAUAAUUCACCAAUAGCCUCUAGCCUUCCUUCAAUGUUUUUUUUUUUUUUU
This 744-nucleotide long non-coding RNA is filed under the name Olea europaea (common olive). Its description in RNAcentral is "long non-coding RNA (OEUR_LNC012342)". Lineage: Eukaryota; Viridiplantae; Streptophyta; Magnoliopsida; Lamiales; Oleaceae. The record is from RNAcentral.